Molecule: ribosomal RNA, 503 nt
Filed under: uncultured bacterium
Lineage: Bacteria
Description: partial 16S ribosomal RNA
Rfam family: Bacterial small subunit ribosomal RNA
Source: RNAcentral
AUUGAACGCUGGCGGCAGGCUUAACACAUGCAAGUCGAGCGGAGUGAUGGUGCUUGCACUAUCACUUAGCGGCGGACGGGUGAGUAAUGCUUAGGAAUCUGCCUAUUAGUGGGGGACAACAUCUCGAAAGGGAUGCUAAUACCGCAUACGUCAUACGGGAGAAAGCAGGGGAUCACUUGUGACCUUGCGCUAAUAGAUGAGCCUAAGUCGGAUUAGCUAGUUGGUGGGGUAAAGGCCUACCAAGGCAACGAUCUGUAGCGGGUCUGAGAGGAUGAUCCGCCACACUGGGACUGAGACACGGCCCAGACUCCUACGGGAGGCAGCAGUGGGGAAUAUUGGACAAUGGGGGGAACCCUGAUCCAGCCAUGCCGCGUGUGUGAAGAAGGCCUUAUGGUUGUAAAGCACUUUAAGCGAGGAGGAGGCUCUUUUGGUUAAUACCCAAGAUGAGUGGACGUUACUCGCAGAAUAAGCACCGGCUAACUCUGUGCCAGCAGCCGCGGUAA